This 204-nucleotide long non-coding RNA is filed under the name Elaeis guineensis (African oil palm). Its description in RNAcentral is "long non-coding RNA (EGUI_LNC040133)". Lineage: Eukaryota; Viridiplantae; Streptophyta; Magnoliopsida; Arecales; Arecaceae. The record is from RNAcentral.
CUUCCUUCGUAGGAGUGCUAGCACGCAUCGAAGGCUCUCGAUGGCUGAUCCAAGCUCUUUUCUUUAGAUCUUCCAAACUCUUUCAGAUUAGAAGAAGAAACUUUACAAGAAGGUAGUAGUGUGAAAGAUUGAACAAGACUUACUCUUGUAUUUUUCUUCUCACAAAAUCUAGAGUUGAAACCCUAGACCCUACACCUCACGCCC